Molecule: long non-coding RNA, 458 nt
Organism: Triticum aestivum (bread wheat)
Lineage: Eukaryota; Viridiplantae; Streptophyta; Magnoliopsida; Poales; Poaceae
Exons: 2
Source: RefSeq, a predicted model, not a curated record
GCAUAAUGCCCAACCAUAGUGAGUGCAACGGCCUUCAUUUUCCCUCACAAUGGAUUGGAGGUACCUCUUGGUUCUUCGACUUAUUACAACCGGGAUUAUGCUGCUCAUUUUCUUGCACCCGGCAUCUUCGAAUACUGAACCCAAUUGUCCACCUUGUACUUGCUGCAGACCAUGCAGCUGUGGUCAUAACUGAUUGUACAUCGUUCCAGCAGUCUUCUUGGGAUUACUGUUCCGCAGAAAGCCGAUCACGUCUCCUCUUUUUACGCCAUAUAUAUGUAUUACUCGGUUGCACCGUAGUAAAACAAGAUACUGUUGUAACGAUGGAUGCUGGUGUAUUGAGUAUUUACCUGGCCUAAGACUCGGAGCACUAUGCCAAACUUGUAACGUUGAAUGCUGGUCUCUAUGUAACGAUCUUACUACUAUUCACAAGGGCAUGAGCAAGGUGCUGAGCAUCUACA